AGUGAACGCUGGCGGUAGGCCUAACACAUGCAAGUCGAACGGCAGCACAGUAAGAGCUUGCUCUUACGGGUGGCGAGUGGCGGACGGGUGAGGAACACAUCGGAAUCUACUUUUUCGUGGGGGAUAACGUAGGGAAACUUACGCUAAUACCGCAUACGACCUACGGGUGAAAGCAGGGGAUCUUCGGACCUUGCGCGAUUGAAUGAGCCGAUGUCGGAUUAGCUAGUUGGCGGGGUAAAGGCCCACCAAGGCAACGAUCCGUAGCUGGUCUGAGAGGACGACCAGCCACACUGGGACUGAGAGACGGUCCAGACUCCGACGGGAGGCAGCAGUGGGGAAUUUUGGACAAUGGGCGCAAGCCUGAUCCAGCAAUGCCGCGUGCAGGAAGAAGGCCUUCGGGUUGUAAACUGCUUUUGUACGGAACGAAACGGAUCUGGUUAAUACCCGGGGCUAAUGACGGUACCGUAAGAAUAAGCACCGGCUAACUACGUG
Molecule: ribosomal RNA, 492 nt
Filed under: uncultured bacterium
Lineage: Bacteria
Description: partial 16S ribosomal RNA
Rfam family: Bacterial small subunit ribosomal RNA
Source: RNAcentral